Molecule: small RNA, 125 nt
Filed under: Marmota monax (woodchuck)
Lineage: Eukaryota; Metazoa; Chordata; Mammalia; Rodentia; Sciuridae
Source: RNAcentral
GCUGGGCAUGGUGGCACAUGCCUGUAAUCCCAGGAAUACAGGAGGCUGAGGCAGGAGGAUCUUGAGUUCAAAGCCAGCUUCAGCAAAGGGGAGGUGCUUAGCAACUCAGUGAGACCCUGUCUCUA